This is a long non-coding RNA of Hemicordylus capensis (graceful crag lizard), 279 nucleotides long. RefSeq lists it as uncharacterized. NCBI's taxonomy places the organism in Eukaryota, Metazoa, Chordata, Lepidosauria, Squamata, Cordylidae. The record is from RefSeq and is a predicted model, not a curated record. The transcript has 3 exons.
AGCAAGCCAGGAAGGAGGAGGCAGCCAGAGUGUUCUCUGCAGCAGAAGACCCCUUGCUGCCCUGCUUAACCCAGACCAGCAUUUGCCAGGUGAAGAAAUGGACACUUUGCGAUGGUGAAAAUUCCAUGCAAGGAAGCCAACUGGCAGAAGAUCAACAUCAAUGUCAGGAUCCAAAAGAAACCUGGACCCGAGGUCAGCGCAUUAUUGAACACUAAAUGGGGAAGAAGCAGAGAAGGAGAGACCAGCUCAUAUUUGCAUCAGGAAUGGCAUCUCUAUCAC